Long non-coding RNA from Cavia porcellus (domestic guinea pig), 1800 nucleotides. NCBI's taxonomy places the organism in Eukaryota, Metazoa, Chordata, Mammalia, Rodentia, Caviidae. The record is from Ensembl.
CCCUCUCUGCUGGCGCGCGGCCCCAUCCAUGUGUUAACGGCUCAUAGCGCAGCUGGAAGGGGAGGGUGUAGCUGUGCAGUCCCGCCCCCUGCCGCUUCUGGGAAGGACAGUGCUUGCCACUGUUAGUCUGGCCCUUCCGGCCAGUCCGCAGGGAGCGGUCCUUUGCGAUGGACGCGGUGUCAGCCACUGGGCUCGGGGUCACCGUGUCCCAGGGCUUUGCCAAGCUGUUGCGGCCUCUGCAGAUGCUGUACGCGGCCCUCGAAGCCCGGCUGCUGAGGCUGGUUGCUACCUUGCCUGAGCAUGUUCAGCCCCGGCCUGACUUUUAUGGGCUCCCCUGGAAGCCUGUGUUGUUUACUGCCUGUUUGGGAAUCGUUUCGUUGGCCAUUUUCUUCUGGAGGACAGUCCUUGCUGUCAAGGAGAGAACAUACCAAGUCACUGAACAGCAGAUUGCUGAGAAGCUGAAGAAUACCACAAAGGACAGUGCAGAACUUGUCAAAAAAGUGUCAAGUUAUAAACAGAAGAUCGAGGAAUCAAAGAAGCUUAUUCUGGAGACGAAGGAAAAAAAUUCUCAUCAAACAAUUAAAUACAAGGCUGAAAUCAAGGUGCUUGAAGAAAGAAAUAAAUUUCUGACAGGUAUUGCCAAAACUGUUGGUGUUAUAUUCAAAUCUGAGAGGAAACGAAACGUGCAAAAUCAGGAUUUGGUGAGUUCUUGCUGCUGCGUGUUACUACAGUUGUAUUUUUAGCUAUUUCAUAAAUUAGCUGAACUGUUCCCAUGCUGUUAACUCCUUAAGAUUAGGAGUAACAGAACAGAACAUGCCUGUACCCAUUUUGUGGGAUUUUUAGUACUAACCCAGUAGGACCUUUUUAUAGGCAUGGGAAGUGUUUUGAUCCUGAAAUUUGGAUAAUUUCAUGGCUGAGUCCUCCAGAACACACAGAGUCACUAAGAAACUGGUCCAGUUGAGUAGUCUGUGUAAACUGGUUUUAUUUCACAGUAGACUCUGUGCCUUUCGAAUAGUUUUAAAAUCCCCUAAGUGGAAAUGUAGUGAGGAGAGUUCUCAUGCUUCCUGCCUCCUGUGUGGCCUGGUCCUUUGCUCAGCACAGACCUGGUAAGUUGCCCAUUUUCAGUCCUUUGUGCACCAUGCUCUUUGGCGGGAAGUCAUGACACAAAACCUGCAGUUAAUCCCCAGUACCAAUGAAAAGGAAAAAGACAAAAGACAAAAAAAAAAAAAAAAACAAAAACGCUGGGUUAGGGUCACUCCUUGAGCCUGGAUUGUCAUAAAUAUUGAGAAAUUCUGCACAUGAGAUUUUUCUGUUCCCCCAGAAACACUUUUUUUGUGUUGUUUUGCUUUGGUUUUGUCUUCUUGAGACUGGCUUUUGUUAUGCAGUUCAGGCUGGCUGUGAACUCACUUUGAAGCCUAGGCAGGCCUAAAACUCUCCUCUCCUGCCUCAGCCUCCCAAGUGCUAGGAUUACAAGAGUCCACCAUACCCAGCAUUCUUACCAUUCAUACAAGAAAAUGUCUACAGUGAUUUUGGAGCUUUUGGGGGGGGGGCAGGGAUCGAACUCAUGACCCAGUGCUUGGUGGGCAGGCAGUUAUGCUGCUGAGCUAAAUCUCCAGCUCUUUGAGGGCUUUUUUCUCUUCAUGCCAGCAGAAAAGCUGUUCAUUUUCCGUGGUUUGCUUGAACAUUUCUUCAUACUAUGUUGUGUGGUCACCCCAAAGCUUGAGGGUACCAUGAAACUGUUCACUUCAGUUUUUUUCCUCAGCUCUUUUUUUUUUAAUUUAAAGAAAGACUAAACAAAAC